RNAcentral lists this ribosomal RNA (405 nucleotides) under uncultured bacterium. RNAcentral's name for it is "partial 16S ribosomal RNA". It matches the Rfam family "Bacterial small subunit ribosomal RNA", at positions 30 to 526 of the family's 1533-position model. The record is from RNAcentral.
AUUGAACGCUAGCGGGAUGCUUUACACAUGCAAGUCGAACGAGUGGCGGACGGGUUAGCUAUAUAUCGGAACGUGCCCAGUAGCGGGGGAUAACUACUGGAAACAGUGGCUAAUUCCGCACACUAUUGGAUCGGCCGGUAUCGGAUUAGCUAGUUGGUGGGGUAAAGGCUAACCAAGGCAACGAUCCGUAGCUGGUUUGAGAGGACGACCAGUCACACUGGGACUGAGACACGGUCCAGACUCCUACGGGAGGCAGCAGUGGGGAAUUUUGGACAAUGGGCGAAACCCUGAUCCAGCCAUCCCGCGUGUAUGAGAAGGCCUUCGGGUUGUAAAGUACUUUUAGCAGGGAAGCGGUAUCUGCAGAAUAAGCACCGGCUAACUACGUGCCAGCAGCCGCGGUAAUUC